RNAcentral lists this ribosomal RNA (281 nucleotides) under uncultured bacterium. Its description in RNAcentral is "partial 16S ribosomal RNA". It matches the Rfam family "Bacterial small subunit ribosomal RNA", at positions 331 to 631 of the family's 1533-position model. The record is from RNAcentral.
UUGGACCUACGGGAGGCAGCAGUGGGGAAUAUUGCACAAUGGGGGAAACCCUGAUGCAGCGGCGCCGCGUGAGUGAAGAAGUAUUUCGGUAUGUAAAGCUCUAUCAGCAGGGAAGAAAAUGACGGUACCUGACUAAGAAGCCCCGGCUAACUACGUGCCAGCAGCCGCGGUAAUACGUAGGGGGCAAGCGUUAUCCGGAUUUACUGGGUGUAAAGGGAGCGUAGACGGCAGCGCAAGUCUGAAGUGAAAUCCAAUGGCUUAACCAUGGAACUGCUUUGGAA